AUCUAUAGCUAUACCACAUUGAACACCAUUGAUCUCAUCUGAUCCCAGAAGUUAAGCAUGGUUAGACCUGGACAAUACCUGGAUGGAAGACUAACUAGGAUUACUGGGAACGAGGGUG
Molecule: ribosomal RNA, 118 nt
Organism: Mesocricetus auratus (golden hamster)
Lineage: Eukaryota; Metazoa; Chordata; Mammalia; Rodentia; Cricetidae
Source: Ensembl